UCUCCGUAGGUGAACCUGCGGAGGGAUCAUUACAGAGUUCAUGCCCUUCUGGGUAGAUCUCCCACCCUGUGUUAUCAUUACUUUGUUGCUUUGGCGGGCCGUUAGGCUUCGGCUUGGCUACCGAUCCCGACUGGUAAGCGCCCGCCAGAGGACCCCAAACUCUGAAUGUUAGUGUCGUCUGAGUACUAUAAAAUAGUUAAAACUUUCAACAACGGAUCUCUUGGUUCUG
This 229-nucleotide unclassified non-coding RNA is filed under the name plant metagenome. RNAcentral's name for it is "partial contains small subunit ribosomal RNA, internal transcribed spacer 1, and 5.8S ribosomal RNA". The record is from RNAcentral.